Pollicipes pollicipes is the source of this 346-nucleotide long non-coding RNA. RefSeq lists it as uncharacterized. The record is from RefSeq and is a predicted model, not a curated record. Lineage: Eukaryota; Metazoa; Arthropoda; Thecostraca; Pollicipedomorpha; Pollicipedidae. The transcript is spliced from 4 exons.
GCCGGCGGACGGCGGCCGGGCACCGCGGCGCGGCGAGUACCAGGUGGUGCGCCAGACCAGCGCGGAGUUAAAGCACGUGCUGGACCAGUUUGAUCGCGUCGAGCAGCACUUGGCCGACGGCCUCAGCUGGAUGCACUGCCGCUUCAGGGAGGAGCUCAACGUUCAGGACGUCAACCUGGCGUCUCUGGCCUCAUCGCUGAGGAUGCGCUUCCGGAGGUUCAACGACGUACACUCCCGUCUGGAGGCGCAGAGCGACAGCAUCCUGGCCAUGCAGACGGACGCGCGGGCCACCAGCAGUCACGCACUGGCCACGAUCCUCGAGCGGCUGGAGCAGGGAUGUCAUCCA